RNAcentral lists this transfer RNA (85 nucleotides) under Felis catus (domestic cat). It matches the Rfam family "tRNA". Rfam says of the family: Transfer RNA (tRNA) molecules are approximately 80 nucleotides in length. Their secondary structure includes four short double-helical elements and three loops (D, anti-codon, and T loops). Further hydrogen bonds mediate the characteristic L-shaped molecular structure. tRNAs have two regions of fundamental functional importance: the anti-codon, which is responsible for specific mRNA codon recognition, and the 3' end, to which the tRNAs corresponding amino acid is attached (by aminoacyl-tRNA synthetases). tRNAs cope with the degeneracy of the genetic code in two manners: having more than one tRNA (with a specific anti-codon) for a particular amino acid; and 'wobble' base-pairing, i.e. permitting non-standard base-pairing at the 3rd anti-codon position. Lineage: Eukaryota; Metazoa; Chordata; Mammalia; Carnivora; Felidae. The record is from Rfam by way of RNAcentral.
GCCUGGGUGGCUCAGUCGGUUGAGUGUCCGACUUCGGCUCAGGUCAUGAUCUCACAGUUCGUGGGUUCGAGCCCCACAUCAGGCU